Molecule: ribosomal RNA, 491 nt
Filed under: uncultured bacterium
Lineage: Bacteria
Description: partial 16S ribosomal RNA
Rfam family: Bacterial small subunit ribosomal RNA
Source: RNAcentral
GAUGAACGCUGGCUACAGGCUUAACACAUGCAAGUCGAGGGGAAACGCCGGGGAAGCUUGCUUCCCCGGGCGUCGACCGGCGCACGGGUGAGUAACGCGUAUCCAACCUGCCUCUGACUGAGGGAUAACCCGUCGAAAGUCGGCCUAAUACCUCAUGGCAUCGUCUGCGGGCAUCCAACGACGAUUAAAGAUUUCAUCGGUCAGAGAUGGGGAUGCGUCUGAUUAGCUUGUUGGCGGGGUAACGGCCCACCAAGGCGACGAUCAGUAGGGGUUCUGAGAGGAAGGUCCCCCACAUUGGAACUGAGACACGGGCCAAACUCCUACGGGAGGCAGCAGUGAGGAAUAUUGGUCAAUGGGCGAGAGCCUGAACCAGCCAAGUAGCGUGCAGGAUGACGGCCCUAUGGGUUGUAAACUGCUUUUAGGCGGGGAUAAAGUGAGGGACGUGUCCUUCAUUGCAGGUACCGCAUGAAUAAGGACCGGCUAAUUCCGUG